Molecule: ribosomal RNA, 538 nt
Filed under: uncultured Bacteroidota bacterium
Lineage: Bacteria; Pseudomonadati; Bacteroidota
Description: bacterial SSU rRNA
Rfam family: Bacterial small subunit ribosomal RNA
Source: RNAcentral
UGGAUCCAGACUUUGAUCAUGGCUCAGGAUGAACGCUAGCUACAGGCUUAACACAUGCAAGUCGAGGGGAAACGAUAGAGAAAGCUUGCUUUUUCUAGGCGUCGACCGGCGCACGGGUGGGUAACGCGUAUCCAACCUGCCCAUCACUUGGGGAUAACCUUGCGAAAGUAAGACUAAUACCCAAUGAUAUCUCAAGAAGACAUCUGAAUGAGAUUAAAGAUUUAUCGGUGAUGGAUGGGGAUGCGUCUGAUUAGCUUGUUGGCGGGGUAACGGCCCACCAAGGCGACGAUCAGUAGGGGUUCUGAGAGGAAGGUCCCCCACAUUGGAACUGAGACACGGUCCAAACUCCUACGGGAGGCAGCAGUGAGGAAUAUUGGUCAAUGGGCGAGAGCCUGAACCAGCCAAGUAGCGUGCAGGAAGACGGCCCUAUGGGUUGUAAACUGCUUUUAUAAGGGAAUAAAGUGAGUCUCGUGAGACUUUUUGCAUGUACCUUAUGAAUAAGACCGGCUAAUUCCGUGCCAGCAGCCGCGGUAAUACG